GACGAACGCUGGCGGCGUGCUUAACACAUGCAAGUCGAACGGAAAGGCCCUGCUUUUGUGGGGUGCUCGAGUGGCGAACGGGUGAGUAACACGUGAGUAACCUGCCCUUGACUUUGGGAUAACUUCAGGAAACUGGGGCUAAUACCGGAUAGGAGCUCCUGCUGCAUGGUGGGGGUUGGAAAGUUUCGGCGGUUGGGGAUGGACUCGCGGCUUAUCAGUGUGUUGGUGGGGUAGUGGCUUACCAAGGCUGUGACGGGUAGCCGGCCUGAGAGGGUGACCGGCCAAAUUGGGACUGAGAUACGGCCCAGGCGCCUACGGGAGGCAGGAGUGGGGAAUAUUGCACAAUGGGCGGAAGCCUGAUGCAGCAACGCCGCGUGCGGGAUGACGGCCUUCGGGUUGUAAACCGCUUUCGCCUGUGACGAAGCGUGAGUGACGGUAAUGGGUAAAGAAGCACCGGCUAACUACGU
This 467-nucleotide ribosomal RNA is filed under the name uncultured bacterium. Its description in RNAcentral is "partial 16S ribosomal RNA". It matches the Rfam family "Bacterial small subunit ribosomal RNA", at positions 28 to 506 of the family's 1533-position model. The record is from RNAcentral.